RNAcentral lists this small RNA (127 nucleotides) under Marmota monax (woodchuck). The record is from RNAcentral. Lineage: Eukaryota; Metazoa; Chordata; Mammalia; Rodentia; Sciuridae.
ACUGGGUGCAGUGGCUUGUGCCUGUAAUCCCAGUGACCUUGGAGGCUGAGGCAGGAGGUUCCUGAGUUCAAAGCCAGUCUCAGCAAUUUAGCGAGGCCCUGAGCAACUUAGUGAGACCCUGUCUCAA